RNAcentral lists this unclassified non-coding RNA (22 nucleotides) under Chlamydomonas reinhardtii. Its description in RNAcentral is "small RNA Cre_4038". The record is from RNAcentral. Lineage: Eukaryota; Viridiplantae; Chlorophyta; Chlorophyceae; Chlamydomonadales; Chlamydomonadaceae.
UUGGUUUGCGUCCUGCAUGAGC